Non-coding RNA from Cherax quadricarinatus, 861 nucleotides. NCBI's taxonomy places the organism in Eukaryota, Metazoa, Arthropoda, Malacostraca, Decapoda, Parastacidae. The record is from RefSeq and is a predicted model, not a curated record.
AGCAAUCAGCAAGGACGAGAAGGACCAUAAACAUACCUAACCGAGGACAACUCUUUUUCCUCCAAUAGUAACAAAAACUCCUAAUUUAACGAAUCUUACUUCAGCAAUUUCCAAAUCCUGACUAUGUCAGUGAGCUGAUAACAGAAUAAAAUACAUCUAGACUCUCGACCUGGAUAGUACUGUCUCUCGAAAUGAAACCACAAAACAAAAUCGCUAAUUCUAAAAAAUCUCUGGAGACAUAGUUCCACAGAGAGUAAGAUGCACGUCUCAGCUUGCCAACGAGAACAUAUUCUAAUAUCAAUGAGUCUAUAUUACAAAACGAUAGUCCAUUUAGUGCUAAGUGUGAGGGAAAAGUAGGUGUAAGUGGGGUUAAGGUUGUUCGGGCAACCAGGAAUCAUUAGAGAGUUACGUUGCGCGCGCACACACACACCCCCCCCUCUCUGGCGGGCUGGGGCAAAACUAGUUCCUGGUGUCCGAUUUGUUAAAGUUUCUACUCCUGGUAAUAUUGACCUUACCUGGUGUGGAUGGAAGUUUGGAGAGUCACUUCGCCUCCACUCUUCUCCUAAUCAGCUCUGUUCCUGGCGUGGUCUUCCAGGAUAGACGCCAGAUAAAGGGGCAAGACGUGUGUUAAUAAUACUUAUUAACAUUAUUCUACAACUACCGGCCCUUACCUAUACUACUUGUGCUCCAUCCAAGUGGUAGGAGAUUCCAGAACAUCGGAUUACCAUCUGCCCAGGAUAACCUACAUAAAUAACAUCAGAGGAACUAUCUAGGGCCAUACCUACUCCUACCCAACUACCUGAAUUGAAGGCCAUAUUUUUUUUAUUAUAUUUAAAUUUUAAGUAAAAUUCUCAAAAAUCA